This 18403-nucleotide long non-coding RNA is filed under the name Olea europaea (common olive). RNAcentral's name for it is "long non-coding RNA (OEUR_LNC001358)". Lineage: Eukaryota; Viridiplantae; Streptophyta; Magnoliopsida; Lamiales; Oleaceae. The record is from RNAcentral.
GGUACGCCUUUGUUGCCAUCUUAAGCCGGUGGUCCACCCUGAUCGUAACAUGAUACCCCUAAGAACUCGUUAAAUUCUUCUGUACAUAAUAUUGUGCAAUAAUCAUAUAUACAUUAAGAUGAAUUUGGAUACUUUUAAGAUAUUCAUUACAUAAGCUUUUAAUUUAGCUGGUUAUGUUCUAGAUUUUCACCGAGUAUUAAUGUUUUCCACUCAUUAACAGGAAAAUGUUUAAAGUUCGGAUCGAUUAGAUUAAUAUACUUUUGUUAUUAUCACUUCGAGAAAUAGAAUUAAGUACGUAUAAAUUGAGAAGGUAAUUAUUAUAAUGGAAAUUUAUGUAUUUGUCAAGAAUUUAAUUGUGAUUGGAAUUUAUUUUGCUUACGAAAAUUUUGAUUUAAAUUUGCGUUUACUGGAUCAGAUUCAGAAGCUGCGAAUCCAAGAUCACUUGGAGAUGAAGCGGGUGAGGAUGCAGUGAGGGUUACAAGAAGCAUUAUGAUAGUAAAGCCUCAAGGUGUUCAGAAAGGCUCGCCGCCGGUUUCGCCGGCUGCCUCCACAUCUCCGGUGUCUCCUUUCGCCGGUUCCGGUUAGCUUCAUGAGUUAUCAUAUUUUUUUAUAUUUUAUUCUAAUUAUGAUGUCAAACAUUCCAGUAUCUUCUUGCAAAUUUAUUGUUUAAACUGCCCUGGGUAAUAAUGUGGUCUAGAAGAAUCUCAGGGAAUCUGAAUAGGGUAAUUUGGACACACUGUUUUUCGAGAACGGAAUAACGAUAAGGGUAUUUUAGUCCUUUUAGGAAGCUUGUCACAGUAAUAAGCGGCAAUAAUAGAGAUGAGAUAAGUUUAGGCAUGAUGGGCCAAUUAUUUUAUUUUUGAAUUUUGUCUUAAGAGUGACAUUUGUGGAAUCUACUAGGAUACAGUUGUUAAAAUUUAAAAUAGCAUUAUGUCUUUGUCCACUUCCUGAAUUCGUGCGUGGCAUUGCUUAAAGAGACCCACGAAUUGUUAAAACUUGUAAUAGAAUUAUGCCUUUGGCGAUAGUUAUUAUUAAGAGUAAUGUCUCUGUCUCCCUUGGUUAUAAGUUUAGUGCGUUAACGUGACAUUAAAUUAUAUGUGUGUAAUCAACUUUGUCCUUUAAUUUUAUUUUUUAUUGAGCCUAUCACUUACCACCACAUAAAUUGUGGGUUAUAAUCUAGUGGAGCUAAAUAAUGCGACUCUAGUUUUUAUGGUUUGAAUCUUCGAUACACAAUUGUAAUGAUUUCGUAGUUAAUACUGACGAAACAUGCCUUUUGCAUUAAACAUGGAAUAUUCUGUUCUUCAUUGUUUAUGACAUUAAGCUCCUGUUGGUGUAUUUAAGUUGAUUAAAAUUUUAUGAAAUUCACAUGUUUACUACCACAUAUUUGAUUAACUUGUAUCUAAAUUUACUAAAAGUUUGAUUUUAAUCUACACCAAACUGGGGCUAAUUUUUUAUUAUGAAUGAGGCUAGGUGCAGGGGGAAGAGAGGCAUUUCGGUUUCGUAGGAGGUCUGCAUCCUUCGCUUACGAGAAGGCUAGCGAAGUUGGACCCAGGAGCCCUCCCCCUUACGACCUGUGAUUAACGAUAUCGAGGCUUCGAUCCUUUUCUCCCUUGAGGCUGCUCUAAAUGUUAUAUUGUUUCUGUUUAAGGAUCUUUUGGGAAGCAAAAGAGUAUUAUGUGUAGUUAGAUGUAUAUACGCGACGUCCAUCCACCGCAUAGUGUUAUUUUGAGUGAGGCUGUUUGAGUUCAAAGACUCGAGAGUUGUAAGGAGUUCACUUCUUGUAAAAGGGUUUCUCCAUUGCUUUACAAGUUUAGUUUCUGUUCUCUUUAUAUCUUAUCAUGAGUAAGAAUUCGAUUUCACUUGGGCCUAUCGGCGUAGAAUAAUGCUUGUAGUACAUAGAGGUGUCCAAAAUGGACACCUGGCGCCUCGGCCAAUGCCGAGGUGUCGGUGGGCCUUGGCGUAGCAGCCGCCUCGGCCAAUGUCGAGACGCUGGGUGUCCACCCCGUUGGAUACCGCAAUGUACCCAUAGCAUGAUUGAUCGGCGUAAUAUGUCAUUUUGAAACUCUACUGAACUUUGAAGACUCUACUCAGAUUGCUAAAGUACAAAUAGUCUAGUUUGAUAAGAAUUAAAAGAUUUUUAGUAAAUUUUGAUAAAAAUUGAUGAAAUGUAAAAAAUUAUGUAUUUUAUGAAAUACGAGAUUGAAAUUAAUUGUUCACUUUAAUUUAUGUUAGAAUCUGAAUUUUAAUUUUUAUUAUCAAACAAGGGAUAUCAUGGUUUGAUUCAUGGUUGGUUUCCCAACUUUUGUCUUGGACAAAAAUAGACUGAUGGUCGUGUAACACUUAGCCCUGUUUGGCCUCAAUUUUGUGGAAAUAAAAAUGGGUGGAAUAGUAUUUUUUUGAAAAAUGAGUAGUUGAAAAUGAAAGAAAAGUUUCGAUUUACGUGUAAUAUUAUUUUAUGAAAAAUUAUGAAGUUGAAAAUAUGAGAGAAAAAUGAAAUGUAAUGGAAUGGAAAUUAAUGGGGCCAAACGAGGGCUCAAGCUGCUUAAGGAUUGUUUCUCACUCGGGAUCUAAUUGAAUAAGUUAUCCUUCCAUACUACGUUGAAAAAUUAAUGGCACUUUUAAGAAGACUAAGAGUGCAUUUUAUUAUCAAUAUUUUUCAUACAAAUGUUAUUUUUCUAUCCAAAUUUUUAUUUUUGGGCGGUUUGAUUUAUUUUUUUCAUAGAAAAUAUUUUCCUACUUUUUGAUAUGAUUCAGGAUGCGUCGCCGAUUAUCGAAGAAGUGAUGAUUAAUUGGAAGAAACCAAAGCCAUGUUCAAAACCUCGAGGAGCUAAUGAAAGUCACACAAUUGCUUGGUUGAGCUAUGGAGAACAAAAGAUUGAAGAGAACCUGCCAAAAUCCACGUAAAUCAAAAAUAUUUUCUUAAUUUUCGACCAAACUUUCUCCAUUGUCUACUAUUCCAAAAUGCAUUUUUUUCAUAAAAUUGAGUCCAAACACCCUCUAAAUAUGCCACGAAUGGGUGAUUUGAUCUCCUUCCCAAGUUUUACCUCUUGCAGGUUGGAUUUGGAGUGGGGACGCUCUAUUGCACGAAAACCAUUUAUGUCAAUGAAUUUAUUGAAAAUAAAGUGCAUAGAUUUUCUGUACAAGAUUAAGCUCCUAUUUGAGCUUCAUCUUCUUAAAAAAAAAAAAAAAUUUAUUUUCAACUACUCAUUAUCCUAAUAAAAUAUUUUGGGUAAUUAGCACAAAACAUCCCUACCUUUCGAUGUUUUUGUGGAAAACAUCCCUACCUUUUUUUUUAGCAUAAUUAGCACAAAAGGUCCAUACAUUUCAAUGUUAUUGUGCAAAACGUCCAUAUCUUUCAUUUUUAGCAUUUUCACCCCUACAUUUCACCUUUCAUUGUGCAAAAAGAUCAUUUUCAUCCAUUUUUUCAAUAAAAUGACGAUUUUACCCUCCUAUUGAAAUAAAACAAAAAGAAAAGAAAAAAAUAAUUAAUUAAUUGCAAUCAUAGUUCUAAAUCUUUCAAAACAUUACAGAUAAAUCCUAAAUUCUCCACUACCGCCACUUUCACAACCCCACCAAGCCAUCACCUAUAGAUCUAUAUAGCACCACUUUUCGACCAUAACACCUAUCGGACUCCACCACCACCAGUGUCGCCUCACUCUCCCCAAUAUCCUCCUCCAUAGUAUUGAUCACCAAUCUGUCCGAAACAACCAUAUUUACGGUGGUGGAGUCCGUUGGGCAUGGUGGCCGAAAGGUGGUAUUAUGUGGAUUUAUAGUUGGCAGCUUGAUAGGUUGUGAAAAUGGUGGUGGUUGAGAAUUUAUGAUUUAUCUGUAAUGUUUUGAAAGAUUUAGAACUAUGAUUGCAAUUAAUUAAUUAUUUUUUUUCUUUUCUUUUUGUUUUAUUUCAAUAGGAGGGUAAAAUCGUCAUUUUAUUGAAAAAAUAGAUGAAAAUGACUUUUUGCGCAAUGAAAGGUGAAAUGUAGGUGUAAAAAUGCUAAAAAUGAAAGGUAGGGACGUUUUGCACAGUAAUAUUGAAAGGUAGGGACCUUUUCUGCUAAUUAUGCUAAAAAAUAAAAGGUAGGGACGUUUUGCACAAUAACUUUGAAAGGUAGGGACCUUUUGUGCUAAUUACCUUUUUGAUUUAACGGAGCAUUUUAACGGAGAGUUGACAGAAGGACGUUUUGCACAAAAAAAGGUAAAGGUAAGGGUGUAAUCCGCCAAAAAAUGAAAGGUAAGGACGUUUUCCACAAAAACAUCUAAAGGUAGGGAUGUUUUGUGCUAAUUACCCAAAUAUUUUUAUACAUAACUUUUUUUCUUAUUUUUUAACUAUUCAUUUUUCAAAAAAAAAAAUCACUAUUACAAAAAUCCUUUUCUUUCCCCCCGUAAAAAUGGAAAUCAAACAUCUAAGAUUUUGACUAGUAUGUAAAAACAAUGUCCAACUAUAAGCCAUAUCUAACUUAACCUACAUUCAAAGUUGACGUUGACAUCAAGAUCAAGUGUCACCCUAUUUAUUAUUAUUAUUAAUUUUAAUUGCAUGCUAAGUUAAAAAGAAAGUGUAAAGUUUGCUUCUUCUUUUUUUCUCUGUAAAUGUAAUUUUUAGCUUAUUUUUCAACUUUAACCAAUAAAAUAAUUUAUUUAUUCAAUAAGUGAAUUUGCUCAUAAGCAAACCUUUUAAGCUGAAUUGAUCAAAAUGCUCUUAAAAAUUAAAAAUCUUACAUACUAUACUAUCCACUAUUACAUAUCAAAUAUGUUUUAAUGUUUUUAAUAAGUCGAUAAGAUAUUUUAGUCCAUUAUAAAUAAAUGACAUCGUCUUGACCACGAUAGAGCUUUUUUGCCCUUCACAUAAUAGAGGGACUAAAGUGCAAUGUCAAUAAUUAUAAAUAUAACAUAGUAUAUUACAAGAUAUAAGUGGGAUUCAAGACAAAAAUUAGUUGGGAUGCAUAAUUCAAACCUUUUAUGGACAUUGGGGCCCAGAGAGCCCAUCGAUUUUAUACAUCAAACUUGAUGAUAAGUAAUUAUUGAAAGCCACGUUAAGCCCAUGUUUGAUGGUCGUAAUUGAAGGAUAAAAUAAUGUUUUAAAUAGUGUUGUUUUAGAGAAUGCGUGAUUAAGAAGUAGGGAACAUGUACAAAAUAUUUUAUUAAGUGAAUGUAUAAUUAAAAAUGAGUAUGAGAAUUAAAGAACUUUGUUUUAAAAAGAGACAAGCAUGAACUAAUUGUGGGAGAUUGGGUCAUGCUUUGGACAUGCCAAGGAGGCUUGUUGAUCAAGACUUUGGGUUCAUUAGUCCCCAAAUAGAUUUAUCGAAGUCUUAAUGUGUAAGCAAGAGGAUCAACUUGUCUAACUUUAUCAUUGCUUAAACUCAUAUUUUAAAUUUCAUUCUCUCUUCAAAUUUAUUUAAAUAUCAUAUUUUUUGAGAUUUAUAAUUUUAUCAAUUUUUUAAUCAUACAUUUCAUCAAUUUUUAUUAAAAUUUAAUUUUUAACAAAACCAACAGAAACCUUAUGAAGUUUCUAUUUUUGUUUUGUUUUGUCCAAAUUUAAAUAGAUGAUACUAUAGAUUGACUUAUUUUAAAAGAUUGACUUAUUUCAAAAGGCGGGUCGUACUCGACUCAGCUUCCUAGAAUUGUGAUUUAUAUAAAUUAAGUGGAAAUUACACCUUUCCAGGUGUUUAAAGAUUGGGAUGUAAACAUCAUGUGGGGAAGUUUUUUAUGCACAUGUCAAGCUUUUAUAUAAAUAUUAAAUGUGAAAUAUUUAUUUUUUAUCAUUUAAUAAUUAGUCGAUGUGUAUAUUAACUGAUGGUGAGUUUUCUUAUUAUCGUAAUUCAAAUUACAAUUUUCUUAACUACCAUAUCAAUCAUCUCCUCUCUUUCUCUCUCUCUCUCUCUCUGUGCCCCCCACGAUUUCACGUAAUCUCCAAACCCUCUCUUUGUUCUCCCACGAUUUCCCGUCCCCUCCAAACACUCGCUCGUUCGAACUCAUCCACCCAAAGUCUAGAUAUCACCAUUUAGUUACCCUACAAUCUUAUCAUUGUUGAAUUCAAUUUGUGCAAGAAUCAUCGUGUUGAGUACAUCCCUUUCGUUACCCUAAAAAACGAAAUCUAAUGGAGAAAUCGAAGGGUGUAGGAGGGGUUAUUAAUCUUAAAGACACAAGAAGAAGAAGAAGCAAAAUGAGGUCAUAGGACAGCAUAAUGGAAACCCCAACGCAUUCGUGUCUGUGAUUGAGCGAAAAGGCCAAUCGAACAAGGUUAUUUCCUCAAUUUUUAUUUUAUUUUUAUUUUUUUUAAUCCAACAAUGAAAAAACAUACUGGAUAUUUGGGCAUUCUAUGAAAUGUAGGCGGUUGAAGUAAAUUCGGUAUUGGGCAUGACCUAGGGUUUUGGGUGUGAAGAGUAUGUGUAUGGAAACUCCUUUGUGCUUAUAAUUAGAUGUCUAAUAUGUUGCGUGAUCUUAGAGGAUGAUAUGUGACCCAAGCUCAGUGCAAGUGACCAUGGUAGAUGAUCUGUGACCUGAGCUCAGUGUAUGUGACUUGGAGGUGCUAAUAAUGAAUUGAUCUAAUCUGUGAUCUAUUCAUUUCAUUGAAAACUAAUACACAUAUCUGUGAACUGCUAUGAUGUGAUACAAAUCAAAAUGUUGGUUUUAUUACAAGACUUCCAAUUAUUGGUUUGUUAGUGACAAUGCGGCAUGUGUAUGAGAUUGUAUUUGUGCUUUUAAUUUUGAUGUCUUAUAAGUUGGAUGGUGUCACAGGUAUUAACAAUAUGACCAGACUCGAAUGUAUGUGAAUUGGAAGUACUAACAGUGAAUAGAUAUGUGAUCUGAGCUGACUGAAAAUGUGACUUGAGUGUUCUAAUAAUGAAGAUUUGUGACCCUAUUCAACUUAAUGACCCGAGUGUACAUGUGUAUGCAUAUGUGACCUGUUAGGCAGAGCAUGUUAUUAAUUGAAUCUUUUUGUGUUGUAACAUAUUAUCUGUGUGAGAUUUCUUUUCGGUACAAGUGUUUAACACUGUCUACAAUUUCAAUACAGGUCUGGCAAUUCAUAAUACCAGAAGACAGGUGGUUUCCUGGGAAAAUUACAACCUUAGUCUGCAAAGGUGUCUUGAAUACUAUUCAGAAGAGCUUAAGCCGACCACAGAAACGUAUAUUGAUGGGAACCUGUUUUGCUCAUUUUCUAGAGUGCGACGAGAUCAUGAUACAACCCCAAAUGAUUCACUUCUUCCUUCUGAGACAUGUUCAUUAGCCUAAUAACGAAGAAAUGUGGUUUUAAGUGGCUGGAAAGUAUGUGAAGUUAUCCAUCUCCCAGUUCUGUUUAGUCACAGGUCUGAGAUGUCAUGGAAAAUGUGAUACAUAAGUGUAUGACAGUAAGACAUCAAAACUGAAGGGAAAAUACUUUUCUCAAGUGGACACCGUAACACAUGAAGACAUCAAGUCCACAUUCUUCUUUGCGUGUCAAAUGCCGGACUUGGAUCUUAUCGAAGCUCUACCGGAUGAUGGCGUUGCUAGGAUAGGUGCAUUGUAUUUCCUCACUGCCUAUCUCUUUCCUAGAGAUUACAAGAAAGUUGUUGACAACUACUUAUUUCCCUAGUUGAGGACUUCGAUGCAAUGAACAGAUUCCCAUGGGGUAAAUUAUUAUUUGACAUUACCUUAGGUUUAUUGAAAGAUGGGUUGAGUAGGAGAACUGCACAUUACAGGCUACGAGGUAUGUUGGUAUUAUUUGACAUUACCUUCCAAGUAUGGAUUUAUAAGACUUUUCCAAGUCUAGAUAGAAUUAAUGUCACACGAACAUUGAAGACGCAUCCUCGAAUAAUGAAUUAGAUGGCAGAUGAACAAUCUCCUGCUACUAAGUUGGAAGGAGCCGACUGCUUCGCAAAUGUUGAUGUAAUACAUUAGUAAGCCUUGUUACUAGUAUACUGAACUGUUAUGAUUACACUUUUUUUAAUAUACACUUUUGUAGAUUGUGAUUUGUGACCUGGAACCAUCGGAAACAAAAAUGGCCAUGCCAUAUGUGAACAAUGUCCAGUAUAAGAAGUCGAUUAAACCGAACUUGUGAAGUAAGAGCCGCAAGAAAAAGAUGACAAAGAGGUCAGCCGACAAUGUUAGUACUAGCGGAAAGUCAGUGAUCAUCUUAACGGACAACAGUAUGGGGCAGCCUAAUGUAUUGAACGACGAUGAUGAUUUUUGUUGAUUCUCUACCACGACGUCAAGAUUCACCCCCUCGUAAAAAAUCUCUAAUUGAUGAAACACUGUCAGUUGCCCAUAACUCUCUAGAUGAACCACACUCUCACAGGCCGCAAUAGGUUGAUGUAAGUUGAUGUAAUUAUUUUUUUGAAAUCAGUGGACACAGAUCAAUGUCUUAGGUCACAUAUUACCUUUUGAAAUCAAUGGUCACAGAUCACUGCGAUGAAGGUCACAUAUCCACCAUAUUUUCAUCACAGAAAAUAUUUUCCUAAGUCACAUAUAACCAUUUUCUUUUCCAAAGAAUUGGUUACACUUGUGUUGUUAUAGUGUUAUGUCAGGCAUGUGAUGAUUUGAGAAUGCAAAUAUGCAAACUGCAGUCGGACAAUAAAUUGUUGAAUAGGGAGCUUGCUGACAUUAGGUCACAAAUGUCAUGCUUCAAUGAUGUGCACUCAACAAAAAUGAACUCCAUUGUCCAAAUGCAAGGUGUCCUAAAAAUUGACUUGAUGGAGAUUCGAACUAACAUGCAGUUUUUGUCCGAAACUGUGUCAGCAAUGAUAUCUAAUUCAAUGGAAGAGAUCAUGAGACGGUUUAGUGAAAAAGCAAAAGAUCGAAGCACAGAAGUUCUCGGAGUUGAAGACAAGGGAACUCAAGUUGCUAGAGGCUCUGAUAAGACUGAUGAGGUAUUUACAUGAUAUUUACACAUUUCAUUUUACACACCAUGGUCACAUUGACAUGCCAAGUAUUCUUUUUCUUCUCCAAGAUAUAGGUGCAAACAGUGCAGCCAAAUGUUGACAGGAGAUGGAAAGGUUAGAUAGACCCAAGUGAAGACAUUGGUACCCCCUGUAGUCUUCAACCACCAUCGUUCGAUAUGGGGAUCGGAUAUACGCAACCUAACGACAUACACUCUGAAGACAUUCAGAAACAGGUAGAUUCCGUUAUAUCAGACGUGGUGACGACAGCCAAAAGUGUUCAGGUAGAGGUAUUCAUAAAGCCAUUAUUCAUUCUGUACUCGUCAUAGAUCAACGACAUGCCAAUAAUAGUAAACUUUAACAUGUCACAAAUCAUUCAAAACUUAGUCACAUAUAGUUUCUAUAUACGAUGUGAAAUUUAACAAGUUUUUAUAACAAUAUACAGGGAUCCACGUCUCCUGAAAGCGGUUCUGAAUUACUAGUCAAGCAGGUUUUCAGGCCCGCAAGGAUAUUGUAGUCUCCGUUCGUCGUUGGAGAAGGUAAAUUGUUCAAACAUGAUGAUCAUGUCACAAUUUUCGAGCAUUUCAAAGGCGACAUUGAAGAAUUUGACAUAUCUACGUUCAUGAGUUGGUUCCAGAGGGGUUUUUAACCCAAAAAUAAGUACGUACAAUUUGUAUAUAUCUAAGAACAUAACUUAACAAGUCAUGAUAGCGCAACACUCAGUAUUCAAUUUCAUGUUUCACAUUUUCAUAUACUGUUUCCUUUUCUUACAUGUCAUUGUUUCCCUUUUUUACAGUACAUGGAUGCGUGCUUCUACUACAUUUGCCAACUUGCAAAACAUGGCAAGAAUGUAAAGUUUAGAGCCAUGACAACAAAUUCUUGGUUUCAGCAUAAAAUAAAAGACAUAUACCCUGGUUUUAUGAAUGAUCCCUAGGUUUUGAUGUCAAAGUUGAGCCUUGUUAAUGUCAUAACUGGUCACAGCCUUCCUUUAAGCAUACAUUGGGCUGAUGUUGACCAUGUGUUCAUGCCAAUACUGCCCACAAACAAGGCCCACUGGAUGCUAGGUGUGCUACAAUUCAGAAGCCACACCUUGACAGUGUUCAAUUCGAUAGGUAAAACAUAUCGUGACUAGAAGGUUCUAGAAGGCAUUGAGUCAUAUAUGAAAAUCUUGCCAGCACUUAUGAAUACUUUGGGAAUUUCAAAAAAUGACCCUGAUUACCACGGACCUGACUCCAAGGAAUUGAAGGUGCACAUCGACAGUACGCUACCUCAGCAGACAAAUGGGUAAUUCUUGUGACAUAUUAUGUGUACUUAACCUGAUAAUUUUUCAAUUAUGACAUUAUUUUUUCACUGUUAUUUUGCAGUCAUGAUUGUGAGAUAUUUGUGAUUUUGUACGCUUUAUACGUCAUCCGUGAUGGAUGAUGUUCCAUACCGCAUAGAUUCGAUAUUAACAAGUAUAGACUAAGUAUUGUUGCACUACUCUACAAAUAUCGGGAAAUGUACGUGAAGCAUGCUAAGCUGGGAUUAAUGGGGGGAUGGUUAUAGAAUGACAUCAUAUGUGUUAGGAAGAUGAAGUUUUAAUUGGUAGCUUUUGUGAUCUGUACACACAUGGCUUUUUUGUAUUUUUGUCGUUAUUUCUCAAGUGGAUUUGUCUUGUUGCUAUGUACAUGGAUUUUUUCGUGCGGAAUAUAUGACAAUUUCACUUUUCAUGUUAUAAAAUGUAAUAAUUGUUUUCCACAGGAAUUACUUUGGUCAACUGUUAUUUUUUGUUCACAGGUUAUUUUGGGUUUAUAUGCACAUGGAUGGUCAUAUUUGAAGAUUGGUCGCAUAUCAUGAGUUGCUUUGUACUGUAUCACAGAUUAUGUAAUCACAGGUAGUUAAAGUACAUGAUUUUUUAUUGUUAGAAAAUGUCACAGAUAACAGAAUUCAGUACAACAUAACUUUUUUAAGCCAAAUUUAAUCCUUUUUGCAUUAUUGGUCAGAGAUAACUCUAUUUUGUGUCACAUGUCAUCACAUUAUGUUCCAAAACUGUUUAGUGAUCACUUGUAUUUAUUAUUGGUCACAUUUCACUAGGAUUUAGGUCAUGUGAUCAUAUUUUGGUCACAGAGUUGUUAGGAAGUCACAUGUCAAUUUUUUUUUCCAAACCAUUGGUCACAUAUCUUUGAAAUUUGAUCACAUGCAUAUGCACGAUUCAUCAGGUCACAGUUAUGAAUUAUCAACGACCACAUAGUGCAAUGAUAGAGGUUAUGUGUUUUACAUCAGGUCACAUGUCCAGCUGUGUGAGGAAUAGGGAUUCACAGUCAACUAGAUUACAUAACUUUUGACCAUGUCUGAAUGAUUGUAUUAACAAACAAAUACUUAGACUCAAAUAAGAUUUUGCACACUUGGAAAAAUAAUGGUCAUAUAUAACGUCACUCUUGUAUUACAAAUGAAUGUUUCAAAAACACAAUGGUCACAUAUAUUAUGUGGUAUUGCAAUGUAUUGUAUUGACUAAUAUUAGCUCAAUGGGACAAGACUUGAGCAUCUCCUAUGGUUGUGACCAUAUCCUUCACAGUGCCCACAUUUCACCGAUAGUUUCCCAUUUCUGGAUGACAUCUUCCUCUUCUCAGUUGGCCUUUCACAACUCCGUUUCUGGUUAGGAGCUAACACAAUGUCAUGUAGCACUUCUUUAGGCAAUGUCUAUUCGCUUGGAUUUCCAACAGGAUAUAUAGUCUUCGUAUGCGUUCGUAUACAUCACGUGUGUAAUAAUAAAAAAAGAAAGUAUAUGGAUCCCUUUUUGUAUUUGCAAUUACAGCCAAUGCGUGUGGACAUGGUAAGAAAUCAACUUGUAGCAUCCUGCAUGUGCAUGUCUGUUUCUCAAUAUCAACAAAGAAAGUUAUCUUAUCACCACUAAUAGAAAACAGUGACUGGUUGGAAGGGAAAACCUGGGAGAAUAUAAUCAAAUGGACAAAUUACAUCAGUUCAAACAAGUAUCUAUGCAGCAGCCACAGUCUUGAGGUGUAUGUCACAAAUUAUAUAUCUGAGCAGGUCAUAGUUGCACAGUUUAAUGUCACAGAAAUAUAUGGAAAGGUCACAUGCAAUUGCACAAUUUAAUGUCACAGGAUUGUAUAGGAAGAUCACAUGCAGUGAGUUCAGGUCACAUAUAUAAAAGGCGCAUAAGUAUACAAACAUAUGUUAUCACAUAUGUGCAUUUCAAGUCACAUUAGUUUAUGCAGCUAUCGUAUGAGUAGUUGUGAUCAUCAAAAUUAAAACUUACUAUCAAGUUCUUUAAAUCUAUACUCAUUUUUCUGAUCUCGUUCUCGUAUUUGCUUAUCAACUUUGUAAAAGUCCCAUGCGCAUUGUCUCUAUGUUUACAAAACCAGUUUUGCGUAGUUUAUCGUAAUGACUCUAGCAAGGAUACGAUUGGAUAAUUUCUGGCUACCUUCGUGACUGCAUUGACUGAUUUCACGAUGUUCGAUGUCAUUGUUGAAUACCUAUUUUGUGGCAUAUAGAUUCGUGACCACUUUUCAGGUCCAAUCUCAACCUGCAAACAUGUAUUGCAUUGAGUAAUAUUAUAUAACUACAAUAUGUAAUCAUUCUAAUAUUUUAUGAAAAAUUACAUUGAAGUACUACAAUACCAAGUAAGUGCUAAUCUUCUAAUUCAUUGUGUCCGUCCAGUUACCUCAUAUGAUAUUUGAACUCUUCCAAUGUGUAAACUCUAACAGCUGAAUUGAAAGCUUGUGUAACGUUUUGUCCAGAUUUUCCAAAAUGUGACUUCAAGUUCUACAGCAAAUGAUACGAACAUAUACUAUGAUAGGUUCCCGGACACACAUGUUGUAUUACAUUAUUUAUACUAUUAUGCCGAUUCGAUACAAAAUAUAGCCCUUCUUUGUUCUUGUACGCCUUUUUAGGUUUUCUAAAAACCAUCUCCAAGUUUUGUCGUUCUCAUUAUUUCUAAUCCCAAAUGUAAGGACGAAUACACUAUUACUUGUAUCUUGCGUACACACUGUGAAAAGAGUACCUCCGUAGUGACCAUUCAAGUACGUACCGUCAAUCAUAAUUACAGGCUUACAAUGUUUCCAGCCGCGUAUUGAUGCACCAAGUGCCAUAAAGCAAUACCUAAAGCAAUUGUGACUAUCAACCUUCAAGUUUGUGAUCGUCCAAAGAUUCUUUUGUCGAAACAUGUAGAAAAAGCUGGUAUGUUACCAAACGAAUCAGUCGGAUGAUCUCUUAUCAUCUUCAAGGCUUGCUCGCGAGAUCUCCACGCUUUCGAAUAAUUUAAAUAAAUCUCAUAAGUAUGCAACAUAUCACUGCAUAUAUCCUUCGGUGUGUAUAUAGUACGAGACGACAUAUACUAGCGAACACAACUGUAGCUGAUAGUUGUCUGUGUGACCCCAACACUAUAUUUGAUGCACAUGUGUGACUACCAAUCUUCCGAAUGUUCAACAGUUCCGUUUUACCCCAUUUCGAUACUCUUCAUAUCCAACUUUAUCCCUCUUGUGAGCACCUCACAAUAUAUUCUUUUUUGUCUGACCGUUCCAUCAUAAACUUAAAUAUAUUCUGCAUGGCAAAAAGUGACAGGUUUAACUUUAAAAUAUCUUUAUCACAGAAGACAAUUCCUUCUUCGACCUAUCUAGCAUCUGCUACAUAAACAACUGUGAUUUCGUUGUCGUAAAUGUGACCUACAUUUGCAAUUGCUGCUUCACAGAUGUCUGAUGAUAUAUCUUGCAACUUACAUAACUCACCAGCUACAUGUGGAUUAACUGGCAGUGUGAUAGAUGGUUUAUCUACUUCUACCUCUGCAGCAUCAAUGAUUAAUGGGUAUUUAGUAGGUUCGUCCUCCAUAUCCUUUAGCAUGAUGUAAGAAAGCACAUUACUGUCAUUUCUGAUUCUAAUUGGAGGCAAAUCUUCAUUCAGUAUGUACUUCAUUGAGAUUGCUACCAUUGUAGGAUCCAAAUCGAACUCCUUUAUAACCGUGUCCACACAGUUUACAUAUCUGCAAUUUCGAUCUACCAACGCCAAAGAAGUUUGAGAUGCAUGCAACAGGCACACGUGUAGGUAUACCUUUUUUGCAAAUUAAAUUUACAUUUAUUAGUGGUCUAGUGAUGAAAGUGUAACGGUUGACACAGUUUGUGUAUGAAUUCCUAAAAUAGUAGGCAUACACGUUUUCCACAAAGUCACAAGUGAAUGCAUGGUAGAAAUAUAAAUCACAGGUUAGGCAUCAUAAUUCACAUACACGAAGCAUGUGCAUAGUCACAUAUACAGUGUGCAUUUAAUUAUACGAGUGUUUUCAUUCAGGUCACAUUUUUGGAAGUACGUCGUGUAAGAAUGAAUAUCACUGCAUAUUACAUGGGUCACAAAUCAUGUAACACAAUUAUCUCACUCAGAUUAUGCGCGGUAGUUCCAUAUACUGAGUGACUCAGGUCACAUUCUUCAAAAAGUCAAUCACGGAGAAUAUGAAUUUCAAUAUUGUUGAGACACAUUCAUCACACAUCUCAUAUGUGACCUUCAUAUUGCAUUACAUAUAAUACAUGCAUUGGUCACAUAGUCAGAUAUCAGAUUAUAUGUCGAAGCACGUACGUGUACUCUAUUUUCAGUGAUGAUCAAGAGUUUUGCGACUAAUGUUAGAUUUAUUCUGCUGCAAAUAUGAUUGUAUUACUAAAUUGAGAAUCGUGGUUUGAAAUUCAUUGAUUAUUCUUGUCUUCGGUGAUUGUAUUCGAUUUAUCGAACACAAUUCCGGAGUAUGUGACUCGACGUUUCCAUCGCGGGUGAGAUUGUGAAAUUUCUCAUCGAAAUCAGUGAUAACUGCUACCUGCUUCGUUAUCGUCAGCAGCCAGAAUAGGUUUUCACGGUGAGAACGCAGAAUGCUAGCUGAAUUUUUUAAUUUUGGGAAGUCGAUUUUGUACUAAAAUAAGUCAUGAUAUAGAAGGGAACUAGGCGUAAUUUUAGGAAACGACUAUAACUACACACACACACACACACACCUGACUUUAGAAUCUUCAAACUAUACAUCUGAUAUAUGCUACGGUGUAUACUUAGUCACCGAACUAUGAUUUUUUCCCAUAAAUUAAUUUUUUCUAUUAUUUCCUUUAGAAAACUAACCAAAAAAUUAACAUUGGCCUUGGUGGGCUGCUUGCCGCCAGGCAAACCGUGUCAAGUUUUGCAUGAGCCAGCUUAGUGAGAUCAGCCAAGAAGAUACGCUUCCUAUGUGAAUUAUGAAAUAUAUAUCAUUUAUUUUUAUUUAUUUAUAAUUUAAAUAGUAUAAAAAUAAAUUCGUAACAAAAGCACUAUGUGAAAGUCAUAUAAGUUGUUCAUUGCACACGGAAAAAAUAUUGUUGUGCCCUAUAGUUGUUGACUAACAUUUUGUAUUUUCAAAAAGAUAAGUGUCGUAAUUUGGGUUAUCAAUCUAUACCCCUGAAAUAACUUUCUAAUUUCGUGCUCAUGACAAGUCGAGACAUCAUAACUCAACUUUUAUCAACUAGUUUUUUUUUUUUUAAACAACAUUAUAUGUAUUAGAAUUUAAUAAAUAAGUGUAACACUUUAUAACGUAAAGUUAAAAGACUAUUUGGGUGUUGUGCAAGGUCAAUCCAUCAAAGCACUUCUUUAGAGUGUAGGUGGUAAAGUUUUUUAAAAUUUAUAAGUUGAUCAAGCAUAAAUUUUUUCAUGGAUUUCAAACUUUUUAGGCACACAGUCCGUGUGGAUACAAAUAUCAUUAUUAUGGAAGAGAUGUAUAAAUGAUAUGAUGGAUAAUUAAGCCCUUAUUCAAGCUUGAUCUUUAAAAUAUUAAUUUUCUCUCAAACUCAUUUGUUAUCAUACAUUCUCUCAAUGUAAUAAUUUUACAUGUAAAUUCAAUUUUUUUCUACUUUUUAACCCUACAUUCCUAUAAACUCUCUAUUAUAAAAUCCAUUUUCUCAAAAAAAAUGUGAUUCAAGCAAAUUCUAAUUAAUUUUACACCAUUUGAACGAACUUUUUGGAUGCAAACUAUUAUAGUGACGAGACGUGCUAAUUAAUAAAAUAUUGAGAUAAAGAAUAGGUGACAAAUGUUAGGGAUACAAGUUUUAUGAUAAGCAAAAAUUGAAAAAAUUAAGUAUAAUUAAAAAGUAGUUCAGAUAAAAAAAAAAAUGUUGUGCUAAUAAUUUUUUUCUAAAUUGUAAAAUAUGGGUAAUGUUUAACACAUCUAAAUAAGUGACAAUACCAAACAUACCCUUUGACUUUAGUUCAAUUAUAGCAAGAAUAAAAGGCAAAGUCACUGGUAUUAGGUAAUGGUCAAGACACAUUUAUAACUUUUUACUGCAUUAAAAACGACUUAUCACGUGACGUGAUAGCGCGUCUCAUUAACAGCCUUCCACGUGUCAAAUAAAAUUCCGAAUUAAUCUAAAUCCUGCUUGAUUGGAGAUAAUUUCCAAAAAAAUUUCUAUUUUCCAACUUUUUUUUUUUUCUGUGUUUGAUUGCAAAAGUUUUUCAUAGAAUUCAUUUUGAGAAUUGGUUUUCCACCUUUUUUUUGUGUGUGUGUUUUUUUUUAAAUUUUUGACAAUGGGAACAAAUUAUAAGAAUAAUUAUAAAAUGAGAUAUCCAUUAAAUUGAUAAUUUUCAUGUAAAACAAAGCUAAACGAAUACUAAAAUAUAGAUGAUUUUUGAAUUUUUUUUAUAAUGGACACAAAUUCUAGGAAUAAUUGUAGAAGUUGACAUCUCUAAAAUUGACAAUUUUCAUGAAAAAUAAAGUCAAACGAAUAUCAAAAUAUACUUUUAUUUUAAUAUUUUUCAGGUGAAAAAUUAUACAAAUUAUACACUAUUAAUUGACAAUUCCCAGUAAAAUAAUUUCUAGACAAUUCAAUUCUCUCGAAUUUGUUUUCUUUCCAACCAAAUUUUAUUUUUGCAAUCAAAUGGAUCCUAGUUGUUCAAACUUUGUUUGGCCAUUAAUUUCUAUUGAUUUUAAAAAUUGUUUUUGAAAUGAUUAGUUCAGAUGUUAUCAAUACAUAACAUGUAAACCAAGCACCCGUUUGGCUCUUGUUUUUUUUAAAUUUUAAUGGUUGGAAUAAUAUUUUUUGAAAAAUUUAUGAUUGAAAUAGAAUGAAAUUUUUUUGAUUUGUAUAUAAUAUUAUUUUAUGAAAAAUUGUGUAAUUAAAAAGAAGAGUGAGAAAAAGAUUGAAGAGGAGAACAUGGGCCAAAUUUAUCAGUCUAAUUUGUAUAAAUAACAUAUUCUAAAACUUUGGACCGGUCAUGUCGAUCUUAUCUACAUUUAACGUCACGUCAUCGCAGAUCCCCCAGAUCCAAUCGCACGGUACAGAUUUCAUCUUAACAUAAACCUGCUCGACUUUUAACGCUCAUUUCGUCCUUAAAUAUCUCCGCUCAGUGCUCUUAAUUAGGGAAUAACAUAGCUAAUAGGCAGUGUCAAUUGAGCUCUACAUGAGCCGAGCUCGCUAAAUUGCGCCCAUGGGGUUACUUGACCAGCUCUGGGACGACACCGUUGCCGGCCCCCAGCCGGACAGUGGCCUAGGGAAACUCAGAAAACACGCUACCUUUGGCUUCCGGCUUAACUACGGCAAGGGUACGCCUUUGUUGCCAUCUUAAGCCGGUGGUCCACCCUGAUCGUAACAUGAUACCCCUGAGAACUCGUUAAAUUCUUCUGUACAUAAUAUUGUGCAAUAAUCAUAUAUACAUUAAGAUGAAUUUGGAUAUUGUUAAGAUAAUCAUUCCAUAAGCUUUUAAUUUAGCUGGCUAUGUUCUAGAUUUUCACCGAGUAUUAAUGUUUUCCACUUAUUAACAGGAAAAUGUUUAAAGUUCGGAUCGAUUAGAUUAAUAUACUUUUGUUAUUGUCACUUCGAGAAAUAGAAUUAAGUACGUAUAAAUUGAGAAGGUAAUUAUUAUAAUGGAAAUUUAUGUAUUUGUCAAGAAUUUAAUUGUGAUUAGAAUUUAUUUUGCUUACGAAAAUUUUGGUUUAAAUUCGCGUUUACGGGAUCAGAUUCAGAAGAUGCGAAUCCAAGAUCUCUUGGAGAUGAAGCGGGUGAGGAUGAAGUGAGGGUUACAAGAAGCAUUAUGAUAUUAAAGCCUCAAGGUGUUCAGAAAGGCUCGCCGCUGGUUUCGCCGGCUACCUCCACACCUCCCGUAUCUCCUUUCGCCGGUAAGCCGGUUCCGGUUAGCUUCAUGAGUUAUCAUAUUUUUCUAUAUUUUAUUCUAAUUAUGAUGUCAAACAUUCCAGUACCUUCUUGCAAAUUUAUUGUUUAAAGUGCCCCGGGUAAUAAUGUGGUCUAGAAGUAUCUCAGGGAAUCUGAAUAGGGUAAUUUGGACAGUUUGUUUUUCGAAAACGGAAUAACGAUAAGGGUAUUUUAGUCCUUUUAGGAAGCUUGUCACAGUAAUAAUCGGUAAUAAUAGAGAUUAGAGAUGAGAUAAGUUUAGGUAUGAUGGGCCAAUUAUUUUAUUUUUUAAUUUUGUCUUGAGAGUUAAGCGUGACAUUUGUGGAAUCUACUAGGAUACAAUUGUUAAAACUUAAAAUAGAAUUAUGCCUUUGUCCACUUCCCGAAUUCGUGCGUGGCAUUGCUUAAACAGACCCAGGAAUUGUUAAAACUUAUAAUAGA